This 506-nucleotide ribosomal RNA is filed under the name Dicaelotus sp. BFS-2018. Its description in RNAcentral is "partial 16S large subunit ribosomal RNA". The stretch from base 371 to 506 matches the Rfam family "Archaeal large subunit ribosomal RNA", at positions 2542 to 2677 of the family's 2987-position model. Lineage: Eukaryota; Metazoa; Arthropoda; Insecta; Hymenoptera; Ichneumonidae. The record is from RNAcentral.
GUCUUUUUGAUAAUAAUAUUAAGUCUAAUCUGCUCCAUGAUUUUUAAAUUAAAUAGCUGCGGUAUAUUAACCGUACAAAGGUAGCAUAAUCAAUAGUUUUUUAAUUAAAAACUUGUAUGAAUGAUUCAAUGAAAUAAAUAUUGUCUCAAAUUUAUUAAUUUUAAAAUUUUUUUUUUAGUAAAAAUACUAAAAUGAUUUUAAUAGACGAGAAGACCCUAUAGAUUUUAAUAAUUAUAAUUAAAAUUUAAUUUUAAAAUAUAAUUAUUUAGUUGGGGAAAUUAUUAAAUUUAAUUAAUUUUAAUAUAUUAAAACCAAUAAUUAUUGAUUUUUUGAUCUUAAAUUUUAGAUUAAAAGAAUUAAAUACCUUAGGGAUAACAGCGUAAUUUUUUUAGAAAGAUCAUAUUAAUAAAAAAGUUUGCGACCUCGAUGUUGAAUUAAGAUUUAAUUUUAAUGAAGAAAUUAAAAAUUUUUAGUCUGUUCGACUAUUAAAAUCUUACGUGAUCUGA